Molecule: unclassified non-coding RNA, 250 nt
Filed under: plant metagenome
Description: partial contains small subunit ribosomal RNA, internal transcribed spacer 1, and 5.8S ribosomal RNA
Source: RNAcentral
GUAGGUGAGUAGACGCCAUCUCCAUUUCCCCACUUUGUUAAACCAAUGCUAACCCGACCUUCUAGGUGAACCUGCGGAGGGAUCAUUACCGAGCAAGGGCGUCCCGCCCGACCUCCAACCCUUUGUCACCCGACUCUGUUGCCUCGGGGGUGGCCCGGCCGAUUGGCAUCGGGGCCCCCGGUGGAAUCUCCAACCCUGCGUCCUUGCGUCGGAGUACCAAUCAAAUCAAAUCAAAACUUUCAACAACGGA